This 279-nucleotide ribosomal RNA is filed under the name uncultured bacterium. RNAcentral describes it as "partial 16S ribosomal RNA". It matches the Rfam family "Bacterial small subunit ribosomal RNA", at positions 506 to 784 of the family's 1533-position model. The record is from RNAcentral.
UGCCAGCCGCCGCGGUAAUACGGAGGGUGCAAGCGUUAAUCGGAAUUACUAGGCGUAAAGCGCGCGUAGGCGGAAUGUUAAGUCUCAUGUGAAAGCCCUGGGCUCAACCUGGGAACUGCAUGGGAUACUGGCAUUCUAGAAUACAGUAGAGAGAGGUGGAAUUUCAGGUGUAGCGGUGAAAUGCGUAGAGAUCUGGAGGAACAUCAGUGGCGAAGGCGGCUCCCUGGCCAAAGACUGACGCUCAUGUGCGAAAGUGUGGGUAGCGAACGGGAUUAGAUA